CGAACGGGUGAGUAAUACAUCGGAACGUGUCCGCUCGUGGGGGACGAACCAGCCGAAAGGUUGGCUAAUACCGCAUGAGUUCUACGGAAGAAAGAGGGGGACCCGCAAGGGCCUCUCGCGAGCGGAGCGGCCGAUGACUGAUUAGCCUGUUGGCGAGGUAACGGCUCACCAAAGCAACGAUCAGUAGCUGGUCUGAGAGGACGACCAGCCACACUGGGACUGAGACACGGCCCAGACUCCUACGGGAGGCAGCAG
This 255-nucleotide ribosomal RNA is filed under the name uncultured bacterium. Its description in RNAcentral is "partial 16S ribosomal RNA". It matches the Rfam family "Bacterial small subunit ribosomal RNA", at positions 99 to 354 of the family's 1533-position model. The record is from RNAcentral.